UACGUAGGGUGCGAGCGUUGUCCGGAAUUAUUGGGCGUAAAGAGCGUGUAGGCGGUUCGGUAAGUCUGCCGUGAAAACCUGGGGCUCAACCCUGGGCGUGCGGUGGAUACUGCCGGGCUAGAGGGUGGUAGAGGCGAGUGGAAUUCCCGGUGUAGCGGUGAAAUGCGCAGAUAUCGGGAGGAACACCAGUAGCGAAGGCGGCUCGCUGGGCCAUUCCUGACGCUGAGACGCGAAAGCUAGGGGAGCGAACAGG
This 253-nucleotide ribosomal RNA is filed under the name uncultured bacterium. RNAcentral describes it as "partial 16S ribosomal RNA". It matches the Rfam family "Bacterial small subunit ribosomal RNA", at positions 524 to 776 of the family's 1533-position model. The record is from RNAcentral.